Long non-coding RNA from Electrophorus electricus (electric eel), 618 nucleotides. RefSeq lists it as uncharacterized. The record is from RefSeq and is a predicted model, not a curated record. Lineage: Eukaryota; Metazoa; Chordata; Actinopteri; Gymnotiformes; Gymnotidae.
GGCUGAUAAGGCACUCGAUAACUAUAACGAGGGUGAGAUUCCUGCUUACUCUAAACUGAAGAAGAUGAAUGUGAGAAUAGCUCAGAAGCUCUGUCUCUGUAUGGGCCCGACCGUGGAGGGGAAUAGCAAUCAGCACUUUCCCUCUCCAAGUUGUGUCCCUCAUUUCCACCACUCUGAGUUUCUCAUCCCAGCACCUGAGCAGAUGAGCGGAAGUCUGAGUCGGAGUCUCCGUGUCUAAUCCUGCGCGGGAAUGCCACGGAAGCAGAGAGAAGUUUGGAUGAAGCGGCUCACAGCUGAAGCCAUUGGAACAGCUGGAGAUAACGGCGGCAGGCAGGUCAUGUGUCAGGGCUGAUGGGGGAAACAGCGGACUCGGAAUGGCUUCCUGCGUCACGCCAAUGACAGAAGAAUACACUGCGAUAAAGACAGAUGAUCCCUAAUUGGAUGGAGACUAAAUGGUGCUUCACCUAUUUGCAGGAGCGUUCUUUUGUUUACGACCCCUACGCGGGCUUGUUAGUGUGGGAGCACCUGAUUACAUGGCAUGGUAUGACUAAUUAUAUCAUUAUUGGCUAUAAUUAAAAACAUAUCAAAUGUUUCAAUAAAAACACUUGUGAUUGGUUA